This 253-nucleotide ribosomal RNA is filed under the name uncultured bacterium. Its description in RNAcentral is "partial 16S ribosomal RNA". It matches the Rfam family "Bacterial small subunit ribosomal RNA", at positions 524 to 776 of the family's 1533-position model. The record is from RNAcentral.
UACGUAGGGGGCAAGCGGUGUCCGGAUUUACUGGGCGGAGAGGGCGCGUAGGCGGUUUGAUAAGUGGAAGGGGAAAGAUUCGAGCUCAACUCGAAAACUGCCUUCUAAACUGUCUUACUUGAGGGUCUGAGGGGAAACUGGAAUUCACGGUGUAGCGGUGAAAUGCGUAGAUAUCUGGAGGAACACCGGUGGCGAAGGCAGCACUCUGGGACGGUACUGACGCUGAGACGCGAAAGCGUGGGGAGCAAACAGG